UUGCACUUGGAAGCACAUAUACUAAGAUUGGAAUGACAGAUAAGACUAGCAGGGCUUCUUCAUGAAGAUGACACCUAAAUUAAUGAAGAAUUCCAUAUAUAU
Mus pahari (shrew mouse) is the source of this 102-nucleotide small nuclear RNA. The record is from RefSeq and is a predicted model, not a curated record. NCBI's taxonomy places the organism in Eukaryota, Metazoa, Chordata, Mammalia, Rodentia, Muridae.